AAUUUGCGACUGAUAAUAUUACAUUGAUGUGUUUUUCACCUUGGAGAACUGAUGUCCCCAAUCUCAUAUUCUAAGUUCUAUUUUUUUUGGUAUUGAUAAUGAAUUCGUGAAGAGUUCGAUUUGUUUCUUCUUGUCAUAAACAUUAAGCCAAUUAGCAGAGCAAGGGCGUCUAGUUUAAAUGACGUGAGUUGCCUUGAAGGUUGGCGAUAACAAGUUUUGCGAUUCUCCGUGCCUAUCAAAUUUUGUUUUUCGUAUUGAUAAUGGCCUCGAACAAGUCGCUACAUUCGUU
Molecule: small RNA, 289 nt
Filed under: Arabidopsis thaliana (thale cress)
Lineage: Eukaryota; Viridiplantae; Streptophyta; Magnoliopsida; Brassicales; Brassicaceae
Source: RNAcentral